UACGUAGGGUGCAGGCGUUAAUCGGAAUUACUGGGCGUAAAGCGUGCGCAGGCGGUUUGCUAAGACAGGUGUGAAAUCCCCGGGCCUAACCUGGGAACUGCGCUUGUAACUGGCAAGCUAGAGUGUGGCAGAGGGGGGUGGAAUUCCACGUGUAGCAGUGAAAUGCGUAGAGAUGCGGAGGAACACCGAUGGCGAAGGCAGCCCCCUGGGCUAGCACUGACGCUCAGGCACGAAAGCGUGGGGAGCAAACAGG
RNAcentral lists this ribosomal RNA (253 nucleotides) under uncultured bacterium. RNAcentral's name for it is "partial 16S ribosomal RNA". It matches the Rfam family "Bacterial small subunit ribosomal RNA", at positions 524 to 776 of the family's 1533-position model. The record is from RNAcentral.